RNAcentral lists this transfer RNA (74 nucleotides) under Deltaproteobacteria bacterium. RNAcentral's name for it is "tRNA-Arg". It matches the Rfam family "tRNA". From Rfam's summary of the family: Transfer RNA (tRNA) molecules are approximately 80 nucleotides in length. Their secondary structure includes four short double-helical elements and three loops (D, anti-codon, and T loops). Lineage: Bacteria; Pseudomonadati; Myxococcota; Myxococcia. The record is from RNAcentral.
ACUCCCGUAGCUCAGGUGGAUAGAGCGGCAGUUUCCUAAACUGUAGGUCGAAGGUUCGAGUCCUUUCGGGAGUA